CCUAAAUGGGUGCAUUUGCUGUCAUUUUAGCUGGCCAAAGGCACCCCCCACCAGCCUCCAAGGGGAUGUCCCCUGUGCUGCCCUGUCCCUCAUAGUACGUCCAUGAGAGCUUGCAGAUGCCUGCACGUACCUCUGCCCCCUGACAUGUCACCAGGUGUUUGCAGCCCCCUGAUUUCCUCCAUCUCCAUUAAUAAUCCUGGAGAUGAGACAAGGUGCUCACCUUCAGCUGCCCAUGUUAUGCACACCUAAACUGAGUGCAGAGGAAUCCCGGCUCCCAUGGGUUUGUGGCAGGCAUGGGAGGGAUCUGAGUCCCAUUCCAGCCAGAGGACAAAAACCCAGCAUGAGAUGCCUCGAGUGAGUCUGCUGAACCCCUUCCAGAGGGUUAAAGGAGGUCUACAACCAUGUCUGGGUGUCCCACCAUCAACUGGCAUGAGAAGAGAAGACUGCUACAGAUAAUUAUUUUUUUGCUAAGAGAAAUGAGCCUAAUGUCAAGAGGUGUUUGUGCCAAGGUGAGGGAGGGAAGCCCAGGGAUCCCUUCAGGCUGUUUGCCAGCAGGUUCCCCUGCAGCCCCAGGGCCAUGUGCAGGGAGCCUGGUGGGGGGCAGAGCAAGGGAGGCCUUGGGCUGGGCCUCUGCUGCUGAGCUGGGCCGGGCUCCUGGGCCCAAGGGGAGCUCCUGGCAAGCGGGCAGCGCUGCACAGAGACAGCUCUGUCCAGGAGCAGCUCCUCUGCACAGCGCAGCAGGCCUGGGGGCACUGCCUGCAGAGACACAGUGCUUAAAGGCAGGCAGAAGUGGCAGCAUGCCCAGAGCUCACUGGGGAAGAAGACUUCGCAGCCCUGCACCCGGUAAGUGUCUGGCUGGAGGGCAAUGCAGCCGCAGUUCGUGGAGGCAGGAGAAGCCGGGGGUGCAGGCAGGGGUGUCCAGGGCUGUGGUGCAGAGCAGGGUCCCUGCUGUGGCCCAGGGGCUGUGUGCCGGGGCAGGGCCUCUGCCGCCUGCCAGGCUCAGCACUCAGCCUGCCCGGGGAGCUGCCCAGGGCGCUGCGGGGAGAAGCUGCGGGUGGAAGGAGCCCCCCCUGGCAGGGCAGGGUCCUGCUGCUGGCGGGAGGCUGCUGCCUGGGGCAGCCUGCUCACAGCUCCACAGCACAACCGGAGUGUAUCCAAGGGGUUUUUUCAAGAGCUGGGAUAUGGUAGGGAAUUUAGACUUCAGUCUCAGCUCUACUGAGCCUUCUGAACUUCCAAUCUUCUCUUCUUUGGCUUGGUGGAAAUACAAACAGAAACAGUUAAUCCAAGAAGUGCCUGAGACUCCAUGAUGAGCUGAGAUGCCAUCAUAAGGAGGGAUAAAAGGAUCCUUUCCUGCCCCUCAGC
Molecule: long non-coding RNA, 1362 nt
Filed under: Anas platyrhynchos platyrhynchos (common mallard)
Lineage: Eukaryota; Metazoa; Chordata; Aves; Anseriformes; Anatidae
Description: lncRNA (ENSAPLG00000023954.1)
Source: RNAcentral